This 221-nucleotide unclassified non-coding RNA is filed under the name Hevea brasiliensis (rubber tree). Lineage: Eukaryota; Viridiplantae; Streptophyta; Magnoliopsida; Malpighiales; Euphorbiaceae. The record is from RNAcentral.
CAGCCGGUCUAUAAGCCAACAAGACCAAGAUAGAACAUAAACCAAUGAGACAUAAGCUUCAGAUUCUCUUUGAAAUCUGCGACAGAGAAGACACUCGGGGAUGGGAGGAAUAACAAUGGAAAAAUUGUUCAACCACCUCCCAAGUUCUUAUAAAAACACUUAUCACAUAAUUUACCUUCGGAACAUGCAGGAUUUCCUAAAAUAUCAUGCUACUAUGCGUU